This 484-nucleotide ribosomal RNA is filed under the name uncultured bacterium. RNAcentral's name for it is "partial 16S ribosomal RNA". It matches the Rfam family "Bacterial small subunit ribosomal RNA", at positions 30 to 507 of the family's 1533-position model. The record is from RNAcentral.
AUUGAACGCUGGCGGCAGGCCUAACACAUGCAAGUCGAGCGGAUGAAGGGAGCUUGCUCCUGGAUUCAGCGGCGGACGGGUGAGUAAUGCCUAGGAAUCUGCCUGGUAGUGGGGGAUAACGUCCGGAAACGGGCGCUAAUACCGCAUACGUCCUGAGGGAGAAAGUGGGGGAUCUUCGGACCUCACGCUAUCAGAUGAGCCUAGGUCGGAUUAGCUAGUUGGUGGGGUAAAGGCCUACCAAGGCGACGAUCCGUAACUGGUCUGAGAGGAUGAUCAGUCACACUGGAACUGAGACACGGUCCAGACUCCUACGGGAGGCAGCAGUGGGGAAUAUUGGACAAUGGGCGAAAGCCUGAUCCAGCCAUGCCGCGUGUGUGGAGAAGGUCUUCGGAUUGUAAAGCACUUUAAGUUGGGAGGAAGGGCAGUAAGUUAAUACCUUGCUGUUUUGACGUUACCAACAGAAUAAGCACGGGCUAACUUCGUG